RNAcentral lists this transfer RNA (72 nucleotides) under Camelus bactrianus (Bactrian camel). It matches the Rfam family "tRNA". From Rfam's summary of the family: Transfer RNA (tRNA) molecules are approximately 80 nucleotides in length. Lineage: Eukaryota; Metazoa; Chordata; Mammalia; Artiodactyla; Camelidae. RNAcentral also lists the same sequence under 2 other names. The record is from Rfam by way of RNAcentral.
GUGGGUAUAGCUCAGUGGCAGAGCGCAUGCUUUAGCAUGCACAAGUCCUGGGUUCAAUUCCCAGUAUCUCCA